AAAAGCUAAAGAAAUUGAAAAAGAAGUUUAAAAGCUCGGUUGUCUUUGCAUGCAGUGAGCUCUGUACUAGUUCACCUUCAUCUUUGCUUGGGACAGAACUUUCCGAGGUUCUCGUAAGUUCUGUUCAAAAGUGAAGGAGUUCCGCGCCAGCCAUAGUUCCCAAAGGAGGUUUGUGUCUCUUAAGAUGUCACUGGCGAAUUGGGACUUGUUCCAAACCACCAUGGAGUCUGAAUAGAAAACCACCGCGUGGAAUGCUGUUUCUGACUUUGUCAAGCAUCUUAGGCAAAGGGAUCAAUGUUGGAGAUUUUGUUAUGCAUCUUCUCCAGCACUGCUAUAACCUCAUCGACUAAUCUCCAUAUGAAGUUUCGGAUUUUUGGCUGACACUAUAUAUUCUAUAUUUGUUGCCAUAAGUCUUUCAUCUGAAAUCGGGGGUUUAACCUCUGCCUCUCUAUUGGCGGAUGAUAGAACUGUAUCUGUUAUCAGCUACCAGACCCAAUGCAUCUCAAGAUUUUGUUCUGCUGCUAUUGGAAAUCUAAAAGGGGGUUGGUCUCCCAACCAUGGGUCCUCUCUUAUUCUGGUGGAGUCAUGGAUAGUGACACUGAAUCUAACGCCUUUUCCUAUGACUUUUCUGCCCUCCAAGAGACUCUGCCAAGCCUAAAAAGGUCUAAAUCUAGGCUUUGUUUCCAAGAACGAGGUAUAUCAAAAAUAUUUAUUUUUGUAGAUUUUAUAUACCAAUGAAUGUGUUUUGUUAGAAGUCUCCAUACCUGUUUAUCUAGCAUCGAAGGUUGAAAGCUUUGAUAUGUUUAGAACCCAAACCUCUUGAAUUUUCAUCUCUGCUGACUGAGUCCCAACUUAUCCAAUAUAUUUUUCUCUCAUUCUAUUUUUGUCUCCACCAAAACUACAUCAUCAUUUUAUGAAUUUCAUCUAAAAGAGUAUUUGGAAGCUUAAAACAGCUAAGCGAGUAAAUCGGUAUUUUUGUGCCAAUCGCCUUUAUCAAAACCUCUCUUCUGCUUGCCAAAAGCAUUGUUCUUUUCUAGUGCUGCAACUUCUUUCCAACCUUAUCUUUAACAAAUGAAAAGAUUUCUCUUUUGGUUCUAUUAAUAACUAAUGGAAGACCCAAAUAACGGUCUUGAGCACCAAUAUUAGGAACCCCAAUCAAAGUAGCUAGUUCUGUUUAGGUUGUUUGAGGCAUAUUCUUGUUGAAAAAAUGGCUGAUUUGUUUAAAUUAACAAGCUGAUUGCUCAACUUGCUAUACUACUGUAGGAUACCUAGGAUCUUGUCACAUGAUUGCCUUUUAGCUCUUCCAAAAAAUAUAGAAUCGUCUGCGAAUAAUAGGUGGUUAAUGGAGGGGCAUUUAUUAUUAAACCGGAGUCUCUGUAGUAGGUUAUUCUGUUCUCCUUUGUAGAGCAGAAAGAACAGUCCCUCUGCACAAAUAAAAAAAGAUAGGGAGAGAGGAGAUCCUCUUGACGGAGCCCUCUGCUUGGCCUAAAGAAGCCAGUAGGAAUUCCUUCCACAACAAUAGAUUAAGAGAUUGUAGACACACACUCUUUGAUCUAUCCAAUCUACUUAUCAGAGAAGCCCAAUUUCUCCAUCAUAAACCAAAGAAAACUCCAUUCAACUCUAUCAUAGGCCUUGCUCAUGUCAAUUUUAAGUUCCAUAUCAUGAUUAUCAUACUCCUUAUUCCUCAAAAAACACAUAACAUUCAUGAGCCACUAAGAUAUUUUCACUAAUGAGUCUUCCUCAGAUAAAAGCACUUUGGUUGUCAUUAAUAAUUUUAUUCAUAAGAGGUUGCAGUCUAUGAACAAGUACCUUAGAGAUGAUUUGGUAAAACAUAGUGCUAAGACAGCCAAAUUUGAUUCAUUGCAAUUGCAUUUUGUAUUUUUGGAAUGAGACAAAUUUGAGUGAGAUUGAAACCCCUAAGCAUGCGCCCUCCUCAAAAAAAGCUUCUAACAGCUUUGCAUACAUCCUGCUUGAUAGUAUUUCAAUAAAAUUGGAAGAAUUUGGAUAUAAAGCCAUCAUUACCUGGGACUGCUUCUGGAAUAAUAGAAUAGACUGCCCUUUUAAUUUCUUCUUUGGUAGUUGCCUUGUUAGUCAUCUAUUUAUUUCUUCAUAAAUCUUUCUUCUAAGUUGAUAUUUUUUAAAGUAAGAUUUUGAACAUUAGUAUUGGUUUAACAUCAAAUUAGGUUAUUUUAUGUUGUGAUUAUAGUCCUAAUUAUAAAAAUUCACUAUAAUAAUGAUGUCUUUGAUCUAUGUUUAUUGAUUACAAAGUAUAAGGGCAGAUGGAUUGAAUUUAUGAGGGACAUAUAAGAAUUCGUUUCAACCUUAUUUUCCAUGUAAUAAAAGGAAAAGGAUGGUGAAUUUUGGACAGAAAAAAGUAUAAAUAACCCAUUAGAGGUGUAACCAACUGCAAUCAACUAAUGAAAAAUUUGGUUUUAAUUUUUUUUAUUUAAUUUUAGUUAUUUUUUUAGAUUUUGAAUAUUUCUUUUGGAUUGGUUUUAGAUGUUUCUCAUAAAAUUUGAAAUCAUAUUAUCUCUAAAAGAAAAGGUACUAAUUGGCUGCAGUUAACUGUAGGGGUGUUCAAAUUUAAACUAAUCCAAAUUAAACCGUUCAUCCAAUCCAAUCUAAACCAAAAACCGAUUAAAACCACACUCAUUCAGAUUUGAUUGGAUUCUAUUUUUUUUUACAAACCACUGAAUCAGAUCAAAUUUCGGAUCUACUUUUCAUAACCGAUGUAAUUCAAUUCAAACUGCACAAUGUGCUAUAAUAUUAUUAUUUUAUUAUUAUAUUUACAAUUAUACUUAUAACAUGUUUAAUUUAUUAUACAUUUUUAUAUUAUUCAUGUAUUAUUAUUUAAUAAAUAUUUUAUGUUCAAAAUAUUAUUUAUUUAUUUAUUUUAACUAACCUAUAAUUUUAUUUCUAUUGUUAUGUUAUCGUUGGCUUUUUAAGAUAUUGUUGAUACUUAUUAUGUCAUUGUUGAUUAUUUAAAAUUUGAUGUUGAGACUUGUUAUAUGUAUUUAAUUUUUUUUAAUUUACAACUGUAAAUCCAAUCCAAUCCAAAUCACUUUGGAUCGGAUCGGAGCUCUCCACGGAGCUCCUCGGUUGCCUCUUCUUUCGGCCAUACCCACGUUCGAAACUGGCACCUCUUCAUGCUCCUUCAUGAUUCGCAUCUCCUCUUCGCGGUCCCAAGGAAACACCGUUGCUGUGAGUGGUGGUGGCUUGGCCACAAUCAGAGAAAUGCGAUGGAAGCCUUUGCCACGAGUUCAAGGAUCUCCGGUGCCAGUCGCUUUUGCCACUACGUGAGAGUUCGUUUCUAAAUCUAGAGAUCCAUGCUCUUCUUGCUUCUCCUUCAUGGAGGCACCGACCUUGGUGCCACUACUGCUCUUGAUGGGCCUCAACGAGAUUGAUGUUGUGAAGAUUGGGAGUGCAUCCUUCUGAGCUCGGUCGUUGGCCCCUUGCUUGAUUGAGAACGGAUCUGUCUCCAUGCCAUGGUAUAUGCCUCCAUCUGCUAUGUUAUGAUAUUCUAUUUCUUCUUGAUAUGAAUCCAGAAUCUCUAUCAAUAGUGUUGCUAGAGUUGACACUUGCAGUGUUAGAUCUUGAUCUGUUGUGGUUGUUGAAUAUGUUGCUGA
Molecule: long non-coding RNA, 3626 nt
Organism: Arachis duranensis
Lineage: Eukaryota; Viridiplantae; Streptophyta; Magnoliopsida; Fabales; Fabaceae
Exons: 3
Source: RefSeq, a predicted model, not a curated record